RNAcentral lists this ribosomal RNA (1505 nucleotides) under metagenome. Its description in RNAcentral is "bacterial SSU rRNA". It matches the Rfam family "Bacterial small subunit ribosomal RNA". The record is from RNAcentral.
AGAGUUUGAUCAUGGCUCAGAACGAACACUGGCGGCGUGCUUAAUACACGCAAGUCGAACGAGAACGUCUGCUUCGGCAGAUUAUUAGAGUGGCAAACGGGUGAGUAACGCGUAAGCUAGCUACCUUUCAGUUGGGGAUAGCUUUGUUAACACGGAGAUAAUACCGAAUAUUGUCUUAACCUAGCAUUAGGAUUAGAUAAAAGGGGCAGCAAUGUCCCGCUGAGAGAUGUGCUUGCGUUCCAUUAGUUUGUUGGUGAGGUAACGGCUCACCAAGACCGCGAUGGAUAGCCGGCCUGAGAGGGUGAACGGCCACACUGGGACUGAGAUACGGCCCAGACUCCUACGGGAGGCAGCAGUAAGGAAUUUUGCGCAAUGGACGAAAGUCUGACGCAGCGACGCCGCGUGGAUGAUGAAGUUUUUCGGAAUGUAAAAUCCUGUCAGGAGGGACGAAUUGUCUGAGUAAACCUCAGAUUUGACGGUACCUCCAGAGGAAGCUACGGCUAACUCCGUGCCAGCAGCCGCGGUAAUACGGGGGUAGCGAGUGUUGUUCGGAUUUACUGGGCGUAAAGGGAGCGCAGGCGGCUAGAUUAGUCAGGAGUGAAAUUUUGGGGCUUAACCCCAAAACUGCUUUUGAUACUGUCUGGCUAGAGUAUGCGAGAGGAGAAUGGAAUUCUAGGUGUAGCGGUGGAAUGUGUAGAUAUCUAGAAGAACACCAAUUGCGAAGGCAGUUCUCUGGCGCAAUACUGACGCUCAUGCUCGAAAGCUAGGGGAGCAAACAGGAUUAGAUACCCUGGUAGUCCUAGCCGUAAACGAUGGACACUAGGUGCUGGGGGAGUCAACCCCUUCGGUGCCGAAGCUAACGCAUUAAGUGUCCCGCCUGGGGAGUACGGUCGCAAGGCCGAAACUCAAAAGAAUUGACGGGGGCCCGCACAGGCGGUGGAGCAUGUGGUUUAAUUCGACGAUACGCGAAGAACCUUACCUGGAUUUGACAUGGAAGUGCUUAUUCUCAGAGAUGAGAACUUCUCUUCGGAGACACUUCACACAGGUGCUGCAUGGCUGUCGUCAGCUCGUGUCGUGAGAUGUUGGGUUAAGUCCCGCAACGAGCGCAACCCUUGUCUGUAGUUGCCAUCAGGUUAAGCUGGGAACUCUACAGAGACUGCCCUGUUAAACGGGGAGGAAGGUGGGGAUGACGUCAAGUCCUCAUGGCCCUUACGUCCAGGGCUACACACGUGCUACAAUGGACUGCACAGAGGGUCGCAAAUCCGCAAGGUGGAGCUAAUCCCACAAAUCAGUCCUCAGUUCGGAUUGGAGUCUGCAACCCGACUCCAUGAAGUUGGAAUCGCUAGUAAUCGCGGAUCAGCAUGCCGCGGUGAACACGUUAUCGGGCCUUGUACACACCGCCCGUCAAGCCAUGAAAGAUAGGGGUACUCGAAGUAGUUGCCUGAACCUUCGGGAGGGCGCUCCUAAAGUAAAACUAUUGAUUGGGGCUAAGUCGUAACAAGGUA